CAAGGUCUUGGUCUUGAACCUCAUAUUGUCUAAAAUAUUUGUUUAUAYAUGCAAGCCUCAACAUGACAGUGAGAUAGCCAUAUCAACAAUGUGAGCCGAUAUCAGCUAUAAACUAUAACACCCAGCAUAAGCCACGCCCCCACGGGUAUACAGCAGUAGUUAAUAUUAGGCCAUAAGUGAAAACUUGACCUAGCAAAAUAUGUGUAGAGCCGGUUAAUCUCGUGCCAGCGACCGCGGUUACACGAAAGACUCAAGACAAUAUUAACGGCGUAAAGCACGACUAAAACAAAGUACUAACCUUUAGAGGAAACUAACCCAGGCUGUAAAAAGCCAUAAGCUACAAUAAUUACUCUAAAAUCUAGACCUUCUUUGACUCGCAAAAGCUGGGAUAUAAACUAAGAUUAGAUACCUUANNNNNNNCAACCACCACUNNNNNNNNNNNNNNNNNNNNNNNNNNNAACAAUUACGAGUAGUAACUUAAAACUUAAAAGACUUGACGGUACUUCAUCACAGCCUAGAGGAGCCUGUCUAAUAACCGACAACCCACGAUUAACCCUACCCCCUCUCGCCAACAGUCUAUAUACCACCGUCGCAAGCUCACCCCGUGAGCGGUACAAAGUGAGCUACAAAGUUUUACACUAAAACGACAGGUCGAGGUGUAACCCAUGAGGGGGAUAAAGAUGGGCUACAUUCUCUUACUUAGAGAACACGAAUUUCACUAUGAAUAUAGAGACUGAAGGAGGAUUUAGCAGUAAGAUAAGAAUAAAACACCUAACUGAACAUAAARYAAUGAAGUGYGUACACACCGCCCGUCAUCCCUGCCUACACCAUAUUAACCUUCAUAAACCAAUUAAAUUCACUAACCAGGGCAAGUCGUAACAUGRUAAGUGUACUGGAAAGUGCACUUAGAAA
Molecule: non-coding RNA, 912 nt
Filed under: Vipera latastei ebusitana
Lineage: Eukaryota; Metazoa; Chordata; Lepidosauria; Squamata; Viperidae
Source: RNAcentral